This 697-nucleotide ribosomal RNA is filed under the name uncultured Azospirillum sp. RNAcentral's name for it is "bacterial SSU rRNA". It matches the Rfam family "Bacterial small subunit ribosomal RNA", at positions 18 to 763 of the family's 1533-position model. The record is from RNAcentral. Lineage: Bacteria; Pseudomonadati; Pseudomonadota; Alphaproteobacteria; Rhodospirillales; Azospirillaceae.
CAUGGCUCAGAACGAACGCUGGCGGCAUGCCUAACACAUGCAAGUCACGAAGGCUUCGGAGCCUUAGUGGCGCACGGGUGAGUAACACGUGGGAACCUGCCUUUCGGUUCGGAAUAACGUCUGGAAACGGACGCUAACACCGGAUACGUCCUUCGGGAGAAAGUUUACGCCGAGAGAGGGGCCCGCGUCGGAUUAGGUAGUUGGUGUGGUAACGGCGCACCAAGCCGACGAUCCGUAGCUGGUCUGAGAGGAUGAUCAGCCACACUGGGACUGAGACACGGCCCAGACUCCUACGGGAGGCAGCAGUGGGGAAUAUUGGACAAUGGGCGCAAGCCUGAUCCAGCAAUGGCCGCGUGAGUGAUGAAGGCCUUAGGGUUGUAAAGCUCUUUCGCACGCGACGAUGAUGACGGUAGCGUGAGAAGAAGCCCCGGCUAACUUCGUGCCAGCAGCCGCGGUAAUACGAAGGGGGCUAGCGUUGUUCGGAAUUACGGGCGUAAAGGGCGCGUAGGCGGCCUGUUUAGUCAGAAGUGAAAGCCCCGGGCUCAACCUGGGAAUAGCUUUUGAUACUGGCAGGCUUGAGUUCCGGAGAGGAUGGUGGAAUUCCCAGUGUAGAGGUGAAAUUCGUAGAUAUUGGGAAGAACACCGGUGGCGAAGGCGGCCAUCUGGACGGACACUGACGCUGAGGCGCGAAAGCGUG